RNAcentral lists this unclassified non-coding RNA (269 nucleotides) under Hevea brasiliensis (rubber tree). Lineage: Eukaryota; Viridiplantae; Streptophyta; Magnoliopsida; Malpighiales; Euphorbiaceae. The record is from RNAcentral.
UUUUGUGAUUUGGCACUAACAAAAAUGUUUUUAUUUUUUCCUCCCUCAUUUUCUCUCCUCCAUAGAGGCGAGCCUUCUCUUGGUUGAAUUUGAAAUCUCAAGAAACCAAAUAAAUUGAAAUUUUAUAGAAGGCAAACCAAGUUGAACCAAACUGAAGAGUUGAACAUAAUCGAAGAACCAUGUAGGUGUUGGUUCAGUUCAUUUUUUAUUUUUUAUUUAUUUUUAAUUUAAGCGGAAUAAUGCCCAGCCCUAUUCCCCGAUCCAACCGA